Molecule: long non-coding RNA, 1785 nt
Filed under: Capra hircus (goat)
Lineage: Eukaryota; Metazoa; Chordata; Mammalia; Artiodactyla; Bovidae
Description: lncRNA (ENSCHIG00010005330.1)
Source: RNAcentral
CAUGGGGUUGCAAAGAGUCGGACACGACUGAGCGACUGAACUGAACUGUGUUGGCACUUAAUUUUAGGGGCAAAGAGAAGUCAUGACACAUUUUAAUAAUCAUGUUUGCAGUUUAGAAUUGUUCAACAGGGGUUGGGGUGGGGACUGGAGACAGAAUUUAAGCAAGAGAUGAUCUUGAUCUGUGAAUGACAGUAGGGAUGGAGAAAAGUCAGAUGGGAUGGUACUUAAAUAGAGAAUUAUCAGCAACUGCUGGUAGAGGGGAAAACCCAACAAAACUUUUCUUUCCCCAUUUCUCCUUCCAGCUGGCCCCCCAAAUGCCGUCCCAUUUCCAGUCCUUUCUUUCACUGCAUUCGACGAUGCUCCACCAAUGCUCAGCUCGGUCAUUUCGUUUUCUGGUGCACUGCUCUUAGAGGUUUACAGUGGCCCGGAAACUACAGUCCUACGGGACCUGGGAGGGCUGUGGGCACCAAGUAGUUUGCACACAGCCCUGCCAGCAGCGCAAAUAAAUGACCUCCCUAACACCCCAAAGCUGGUGCAUUACAAAGUGCAUAUUUCAAAUCCAGCUUUAGGGAUUUUUCAAUAACACUUCAUUGCUGCUUCCCGAUGUUAAACAAGAGAAAGUUAAAACAACAACAACAAAAAAACAGCAUUACCCAAAUACAAUGUCCUGAGCAAAGCAACGGAAACAACCAGAGACACCAGACAGCCUGUCAGGUGUUUGUCUAGGGGUACCAGUGUUGCAAGUCCGAGGCCAGUCCCAGAGAAUGUGAAGUGCGCAUGUGCUGAAGGGCCUAGGCUCGCCCCAUCGCAGGGGCGGAGGAAGGACAGUGCGCAUGUGUUGAAGGUCUGAGGUCCGCCCCGGAAGAGGUGGGGAAGGGGCCUAAAAGCAGAGGUUUGGUGCUAUCCGUUAGCCUAAACAGCCCAUGUUCUGUUAGCGGAACCCAUGCCAUGGACGAUCCCUUCAUUACACCUAGGACCACUGCCUUACGGCUUCUCCGUAAGCAUUACAUCUUCGGAUUCCCCGAGGGCCAAAGAGAACACGGGACCGGAAGCGCUGACUCCCCCCGUGGUAUUUCCAGGGGCGGAGGAAGAUGGCGAAAUCCAUUGGGUAGUGGGAUCAGAAGAGGGCGGUUCACUCGGCCUGUGUCUGGGGCACUAUGGGUAUUGUAGUUCAGGGCUCCGCGGUCCUGCUUGCGGCGAGGAAUCUUGGAAGCCAGUGGGUCCAAGCUGGUCAGGGAAGCGCCUUGCACUGGGGCAUCAGGUGUGGAGUGGCUGCAGGGGCGUGUCUUCGUUCUGCUAUUUCUCUUUCGGGCCCUGGAAUUCUUCUCUGUCCUUCUUUCUCCCGUUUGAGAUGCUGACUCUUGGCUAUAAGGACAGUAGACCUGACCUGAGUGAGUAAUGAAUGAUUGUGUCUCUGUGUAUCUGAGAGAGAGAAGGAGAGACAAUGAAGGAGAAUAUUAAUGUGUGAGUAGGCUGUAUCCCACUCAAUCUUGCUCUAUUAAAGAGUUUAAAGUGGAUAGUGUAUAUCUACUUAAGGUCAGGUGGUGACAGUAGGAAAGAAGAAUAGAUUUGUUAAGCAAAACAACACUGGAAACGAUUAACUUUUAAACUACUUAUACUUGCUUUUUAUGCAUUUCCAGUUUAAAACCCACAAAACAAACUAACUUUGAGAAUGGUUAAUUAAAUUAACCUCUUAAACUUUAAGGUGGUUUUUAUUUUGAUUCAUAGUAUGGAACCCUGACCUGCCUCCUGAGAAAUCUGUAUGCAGGUCAAGAAGUAACAGUU